Non-coding RNA from Schistosoma rodhaini, 46 nucleotides. The record is from Rfam. NCBI's taxonomy places the organism in Eukaryota, Metazoa, Platyhelminthes, Trematoda, Strigeidida, Schistosomatidae.
AUCCAGCUGAUGAGUUCCAAAAUAGAAAGAAACACACGUCCUGGAU